This 1146-nucleotide long non-coding RNA is filed under the name Helianthus annuus (common sunflower). Lineage: Eukaryota; Viridiplantae; Streptophyta; Magnoliopsida; Asterales; Asteraceae. The record is from RNAcentral.
AUGUCCUGUGGUGUCGUUUUUAUAGGAAAGCAACUCGAUUAUAAAAGCCGAACAUAAGCUAUAUCGGUCUCACAAACACUUCUCCUCGAAAAAUAACUCAUUUAUAUACCUUAAACACUCUCAAACUCGUUUUUCCGGCGAAAUCUAGUUUGUCUCCGGAGAAGUUUCUUUUCCGAUGAACUAGUUGAAGAACUAGUUGAAGAAGAAGGCUUUUGAGAAGUGUCUUGUUGAAAUCUAAGAUUUAUUUCAAUUUUGUGAUCAUCGUUAAAGGUACGGAUAAAAUCCUUUCUUUAAUUUGAUACAUGUCAUUUGACUUUGGGCAUCUGAAUCCUGUGGUUAUUUAGAAAAUGGUUUAUAUUAUUUUCAUGUUUACAAAUUACGAGUUAAAUAUUUCAAGGGCUUACAUAUUGCAAGUUAAUAAAUUACAAGUUUAAGAUUACGUACAAUUAUUGUGUUACCUAAGUCAUUGUGACCCAUCAUUGUGGCAUAAAAUGAUGUGGUACCAUACGUGACAGCGAGUUGAGUUCACGGCGUCUCUUCUGUUUUAGUCUACGGACUUCUGUUCAGAGACGUAUGGAUCAAUCCUAGGAAAAAGUAAACAAACUCUGAUAUCUGGUGAAUGGUCGGUGUGAUUUGCCCACAUUCCGUUCAUGUCUGGAUGCAUGGGCUAGCUACCCUGUAUCACCUCUAUAAAUAAAAUAAACCUUCUAGACUUCGGGUAAAUCUGUAUAUCAUAUUCUUCCAAACCACACUUGAGUUCCCACGGAGUACAGCCCUCCAGCAGGUUUGAUAUAAAAAACUUAGUGACGUUCCUAAUGCCUCCACCACGAGGGUCGGAACCGAAACAGCCCUCACCGUCCAUUUGGCACUCCCUCACAGAUUUAUGAAAGGUUAAUCGGAUUCGUAUCGAUCUAGCUCUAUUGCAACUGCAGCCGCGAUCAAUGACAGACCAACUAAGCAAUCGAAAUCCGGAAACGGCCAAAUGAACUACUAGAAUAAACCACGAAAAGAACGUUCCAAAGACACUCUAACCCACAGCAAUGCUAACAGUGCUCGUACCACGUAGCGAAGACCAAAUCAGCCACGCAAUAACAGGAGAGUUAUACAAAGUCGGGACCAGACUGCCGGAAAAAUGAACAACCGGGG